This is a long non-coding RNA of Olea europaea var. sylvestris, 2518 nucleotides long. RefSeq lists it as uncharacterized. The record is from RefSeq and is a predicted model, not a curated record. Lineage: Eukaryota; Viridiplantae; Streptophyta; Magnoliopsida; Lamiales; Oleaceae. The transcript is spliced from 3 exons.
UUUUGUCAAAACAGAUUUUUCUCUUUCUUUAAUUCAAAGAGUGUAUAAAAGUUCAUUUCAUAAGCCAGUAGUUAAGGUUUUGAUUUGUAGAGCUUUCAGAAAUUCAAAUUUAACACCCCACCUUCUGUUCUGUUUAGUUGGAUUGUCGGUUCCAAUUUGAAACUUUUACAGCAAAUAUCAAACAUUCUUGGUCGUAGGUCAUUAUACAAUCCCACCACAUUUUUCCAUUUACACGCACCAUUGCCUGAACUAGCAUCUUUCUUGGCCAUUCACAGAAUGGAGUGGUGGCUCUGAAACCAUGGAAGAAAUUUUCAACAGGAUACAGCAGCAGCAGCCAGAAGGGAGCGAGCCAUGGCAUACGCCUUUUCUCAUUAGUGGAGGGCGAAUUCGAACCAGUAACUCGGUCAAGCUUAUUAUGACCUUAGCAAUGACAACUGUGGGUGGAGCUGGAAGGAGCGAUGGAUAGCUGUUCGUCCAUGGGGAAAACGGGUUGAACUGAGUCCAUCCAUGCCAAAGAAAAUCAACAGCAAGCAAAAGACAAGUAAAACUACAACUUGGCCAAAAUGAACAUCAUUGUUGUGAGAAUAUGGUUCUCUUAACUCCAUUUUGUUCAGAUUUAUUAUGGACCAUUGGAUGGGAUCGAUGGCCGGGAUUUAAUCUAUUUGAUAUAUUUGUGUUGCCUUGUCUUGGGGGAGAUGUUUUGACUUGAUGGUUGACACAAUAAGGCUCCCUACGUUUUUUGACAGAAAGAUGGGUUUUUCUUCUCUUCUUAAGUCGACUCCCUCUCCCUUUCUUUUGGCUCUCGAUUUUUGGUUGAAGGUUGGUGGGUUCUUUGUCGGUUUCUCUCUCUCUCUCUUUGGAAGGUGAGUAGCAUUACAUGGAGCUGUUCCUGAGCCUAAAUCAGCCAUAAGAGAAAGAAGACAAACUGCUAGACAGAUUCGGCCGAGCUCGGGUUGUACCUUUCCACCUUAUUUGCAUUGUUUUUGCCUUGAAACCCUUUAUUAUUUGAUGAUUAUUGUUUGAUUGAACUCCAAGGAUCCCAACAAACUAGUAUCAGAGCUAGGAGAAGUGAAAUCUGUCCAAAAAUCGAUCAAAAACUUCUAGGAAAUCGCGAUUCCCAUUUUUGGCCGAAUCUGAAAAUCCAAAUUUCGGCCAAACGACUGACCUUUUGGCGAAACUGACCUUGGACCCAUAACCAGCAGACCAAGGCGCUCCCUGUGGUGGGGCGCUUGACCGGACCGACGACCGGCGGCGCGUGACUCUGGCGACGGCGCGUGGCUGGACUUUCCGGCAAGCUUUUUUCAGGCAGUUUACUUAUUUCGAUGUCCUGAACGCACUGAUGUCGUUUGUUUUCUGUUUCAGGUUCUAUAGAAAAAGUUGGACGAUUUUGCCCCUGACUUGACGUCUACAGCAAUUUGGUUCAGAAACUUGGUGGUAUAUAUACUGUUUUUUAACAGUAGUUUGGUAAGAUUAUUCCAGAACUCUCCGUUAGGUUAGGUUUGGUAUCCUUACCGGUUUAUGCAUGAUUAUUACUUGGUUGCCUAUUUGUGAAUUCCGUUGAUUGAAUUCUUGUGAUUAAUUUGUAACCCGGAAGCAUAUUUACUUGCAUUAUAUACCUGUGUUUCAUGAACGGAUUAUGUGAUUGUUAUGCUUCAUUUCUAAAAUUGUUUUUAAACUCGGCAUUCAUAUUUUUAUAUUGAUCAUCUCGAAAAGAAUUUUUCAAAACCUUUUAUGUUUUGUCCAUGAGUACAGGCCACUCUUUUACAGAAUCUGUAAUGGGUUCGAGGGUCGAAUUAUCGCAAUUCGAUGAAAAGGGGGAUUACUCGAUAUGGAAACAAAAAAUGAGGGCCAUUUUGGUCCAACAGAGAAUUGCUAAAGCUCUCGAUGAUUCCGCUACAUUUUCUGAUGAGUUAAAAGCUAAACCAACUGAAAUUGAAGACAUGAAUGAAAUUGCUUACAGUUCUAUAAUUUUGAAUCUAUCUGACAACAUUGUGAGACAAGUUGAUAGUGCUAAAACUGCUAGAACUUUGUGGAUUGCUUUAGAUGCCUUGUUCUUAACUAAAACUUUACCUAAUAAAAUAUACCUGUUGGAAAAUUUAUUUAGUUUUAAGAUGGACCCGGGGAAGGAUGUCGAGGGAAAUUUGAGUGACUUUAGCAUAAUUAUUAAGAGUCUAGCUCAUAAUGAUAAAAAAUUUGACGAUGAGGAUUUAGCUGUCAUAUUGCUAAACUCUUUACCCGAAUCUUACAGAGAAAUGAAAAAUGCCAUAAAAUAUGGUAGGGACACUCUCGCUUAAGCUAUUGUUUCCGAUGCUUUAAAAUCAAGAGAACUUGAAUUAAAAAGAAACAACAGAACUCAUUCCCGGGAAGAGAGUCUAUUUGUUAGGGGAAGACCUGAAAAGAAAGGAUUUAACUUCUAUAACAAGAAGGGGAGAGGAAAAUCUAAAAUGCAAUCUAAAUCUAAAGAUAAAAGUGGUAAGAAAUAUUAUCACUGUGGAAAGUUAGGACAUUUCAAGAAAGA